AGGGUUACUAAAGUGUCAAGAACAUCUAAUAACAAGGUUAUAGUGGAAGUUGAAGGGGGAACCAACUUCGUUGCUGAUGCUGUGAUCAUCACUGUGCCCAUCGGUGUUCUCAAGGCAAACCUGAUUCAGUUUGAGCCGGAGCUCCCACAAUGGAAGACCUCUGCGAUAUCUGAUCUUGGAGUAGGCAACGAGAAUAAGAUUGCCCUGAGAUUUGAAAACGUGUUUUGGCCCAAUGUGGAGUUCCUGGGGAUGGUUGCACCAACUUCUUACUCCUGUGGCUAUUUUCUGAAUCUUCACAAAGCAACAGGCCAUCCUGUGCUUGUUUAUAUGGCUGCAGGAAACCUCGCUAAGGACCUUGAAAAGCUAUCCGAUGAGGCUACUGCAAAUUUCGUAAUGCUGCAACUUAAGAAAAUGUUUCCCGACGCACCUGACCCGGUAAGAAAUCAUCAUCUUAUUGCACAAUAUUUCUCUGUUUCUUCAAUGGAUAAGAAGAUUUCGUUUACCGAUGAGCUUCCUGAUGGUAAUUGAGAUUAUGCAUUGCGGUUUCAAGAUUAAAUCGAAUCUGUUUAUGCGGUGUUUAUUUGGUUUAUGCUUUUGUCAUUGUUGCCUGAUACAACAAUCUUUUUUUAUUUAAUUUGGAAAGAGAUUUGAUGAAUGAUUAAUUGUAACAUGUGUUUCUUGCAGGCACAAUCUCAGCGCUUCUCCAGAAGCAGAACAAUGUGGUGCAGCCAUGUGUGAUCGUGAUAGGCAGUGGCAUAUCAGGUCUGGCUGCUGCUAGGAGCCUCUCUGAAGCUUCUUUUAACGUGAUUGUUCUCGAAUCACGUGAUAGGAUUGGUGGUCGCAUCCAUACCGAUUACUCCUUUGGUUGUCCUGUUGAUAUGGGAGCUUCUUGGUGAGUUUCUAUUUUUUAAGGAUCUGCAGCCCUUAUGAUUUGUUGUUCUAAUAACCCACGUUGUCUUAGGUUACAUGGAGUCUCCAACGACAACCCCUUGGCUCCUAUUAUACGCCGUCUAGGGCUCACUCUAUACCGAACUAGCGGGGAUGACUCCAUCUUGUAUGACCAUGAUCUCGAAAGGUAACCUUUUCCUGCCUUUACGCCGUACUAAUCUUUGAAGAAAUCGCUAGACCCUAGCUAGUUAAAAGGCUAGACAGACAGAACCAAUUUGUGGAUUUGUACUAACACUAAUAGUUAGCUAAUUUAGACCAAUCUAAACCGAUUUAGAAUGUUUUAAACCGAUUCAAAAAGGUUUAAACCGGAUUGAGUCGUAUAAAUCAAAUUUUAAAAGAUCUUUUAGCCGAUUUACCCACCAAGCACCGCCUAGACUGAUUUUUAGAACCAUGGUACAUGCUAUAACUAGAUGGGUUUCAGUCUGAAACCUGUUGUAACCCAAUUGCCCUGUUUAACUGGCUUUCCUACCUCAGUUAUGGACUUUAUGACAUGCACGGGAAUAAAAUUCCGCCGCUGUUGGUCACUCAAGUUGGAGAUGCAUUCAAGAGAAUUCUCGAAGAGGUAAGCUUUGCAUUUGCUUGAUUAAAUUUUUGAAUUAGCAUCCUUUUGUCGUAAUAACAGAAGUUGACACAUGCUUGCUUACCUUGCUGAUUUCUAGACGGAGAAAAUAAGGGAUGAAACUGCCAAUGACAUGUCAGUUCUUCAAGGAAUAUCCAUCGUCUUGGAUAGACAUCCAGAACUAAGGCAAGAAGGAAUUGCCUACGAAGUUUUGCAAUGGUACAUAUGUAGGAUGGAAGCAUGGUUUGCCGUAGAUGCGAAUUUGAUAUCGCUCAAAUGUUGGGAUCAGGCAAGCGAACCAAUUCUACUGUACAUUUAUAAACUAUCUGCCUACUGUAACUUCAUGUAGUAGUUCUAAGGAUGGUCUAUAUAUGAAUAGUUUUAAUUUGUUUAUUAGUGAUAGCAAUACACUAAAGAAAAAAAGCUCAUCAAAGCUUUUUAAUUGUUGUGCAGGAUGAAUGUCUUUCCGGUGGCCAUGGUCUAAUGGUGCAGGGUUAUGAGCCAGUGAUCAGAACAAUUGCAAAAGACAUUGAUAUUCGCUUGAACCACAGGUAACUCAUCAGAAUUCAUACAGAGCUAAUACAUGUAUCGUACUUAAAACAGUUAAACCUUAUCACGUGUGUUUUCUAAUUUAAUUAACUCAGGGUUACUAAAGUGUCAAGAACAUCUAAUAACAAGGUUAUAGUGGAAGUUGAAGGGGGAACCAACUUCGUUGCUGAUGCUGUGAUCAUCACUGUGCCCAUCGGUGUUCUCAAGGCAAACCUGAUUCAGUUUGAGCCGGAGCUCCCACAAUGGAAGACCUCUGCGAUAUCUGAUCUUGGAGUAGGCAACGAGAAUAAGAUUGCCCUGAGAUUUGAAAACGUGUUUUGGCCCAAUGUGGAGUUCCUGGGGAUGGUUGCACCAACUCCUUACUCCUGUGGCU
This 2429-nucleotide long non-coding RNA is filed under the name Brassica napus (rape). RNAcentral's name for it is "long non-coding RNA (BNAP_LNC024288)". Lineage: Eukaryota; Viridiplantae; Streptophyta; Magnoliopsida; Brassicales; Brassicaceae. The record is from RNAcentral.